RNAcentral lists this ribosomal RNA (490 nucleotides) under uncultured bacterium. RNAcentral's name for it is "partial 16S ribosomal RNA". It matches the Rfam family "Bacterial small subunit ribosomal RNA", at positions 28 to 507 of the family's 1533-position model. The record is from RNAcentral.
GAUGAACGCUAGCUACAGGCUUAACACAUGCAAGUCGAGGGGCAGCAUGGUCUUAGCUUGCUAAGGCCGAUGGCGACCGGCGCACGGGUGAGUAACACGUAUCCAACCUGCCGUCUACUCUUGGACAGCCUUCUGAAAGGAAGAUUAAUACAAGAUGGCAUCAUGAGUCCGCAUGUUCACAUGAUUAAAGGUAUUCCGGUAGACGAUGGGGAUGCGUUCCAUUAGAUAGUAGGCGGGGUAACGGCCCACCUAGUCUUCGAUGGAUAGGGGUUCUGAGAGGAAGGUCCCCCACAUUGGAACUGAGACACGGUCCAAACUCCUACGGGAGGCAGCAGUGAGGAAUAUUGGUCAAUGGGCGAGAGCCUGAACCAGCCAAGUAGCGUGAAGGAUGACUGCCAUAUGGGUUGUAAACUUCUUUUAUAAAGGAAUAAAGUCGGGUAUGGAUACCCGUUUGCAUGUACUUUAUGAAUAAGGAUCGGCUAACUCCGUG